GACGAACGCUGGCGGCGUGCUUAACACAUGCAAGUCGAACGGAAAGGCCCUGCUUUUGUGGGGUGCUCGAGUGGCGAACGGGUGAGUAACACGUGAGUAACCUGCCCUUGACUUUGGGAUAACUUCAGGAAACUGGGGCUAAUACCGGAUAGGAGCUCCUGCUGCAUGGUGGGGGUUGGAAAGUUUCGGCGGUUGGGGAUGGACUCGCGGCUUAUCAGCUUGUUGGUGGGGUAGUGGCUUACCAAGGCCUUGACGGGUAGCCGGCCUGAGAGGGUGACCGGCCACAUUGGGACUGAGAUACGGCCCAGACUCCUACGGGAGGCAGCAGUGGGGAAUAUUGCACAAUGGGCGGAAGCCUGACGCAGCAACGCCGCGUGCGGGAUGACGGCCUUCGGGUUGUAAACCGCUUUCGCCUGUGACGAAGCGUGAGUGACGGUAAUGGGUAAAGAAGCACCGGCUAACUACGUG
RNAcentral lists this ribosomal RNA (468 nucleotides) under uncultured bacterium. RNAcentral describes it as "partial 16S ribosomal RNA". It matches the Rfam family "Bacterial small subunit ribosomal RNA", at positions 28 to 507 of the family's 1533-position model. The record is from RNAcentral.